RNAcentral lists this transfer RNA (75 nucleotides) under Pseudomonadota bacterium. Its description in RNAcentral is "Proteobacteria bacterium tRNA-Met". It matches the Rfam family "tRNA". Rfam says of the family: Transfer RNA (tRNA) molecules are approximately 80 nucleotides in length. Their secondary structure includes four short double-helical elements and three loops (D, anti-codon, and T loops). Lineage: Bacteria; Pseudomonadati; Pseudomonadota. The record is from RNAcentral.
AGCGCAGUGGAGCAGCGGCAGCUCGUUUGGUUCAUACCCAAAAGGUCGUCGGUUCGAGUCCGGCCUGCGCAACCA